UGGGGAAUAUUGCACAAUGGGCGCAAGCCUGAUGCAGCCAUGCCGCGUGUAUGAAGAAGGCCUUCGGGUUGUAAAGUACUUUCAGCGAGGAGGAAGGCGUUGUGGUUAAUAACCGCAACGAUUGACGUUACUCGCAGAAGAAGCACCGGCUAACUCCGUGCCAGCAGCCGCGGUAAUACGGAGGGUGCAAGCGUUAAUCGGAAUUACUGGGCGUAAAGCGCACGCAGGCGGUCUGUCAAGUCGGAUGUGAAAUCCCCGGGCUCAACCUGGGAACUGCAUCCGAAACUGGCAGGCUAGAGUCUUGUAGAGGGGGGUAGAAUUCCAGGUGUAGCGGUGAAAUGCGUAGAGAUCUGGAGGAAUACCGGUGGCGAAUGCGG
This 377-nucleotide ribosomal RNA is filed under the name uncultured bacterium. Its description in RNAcentral is "partial 16S ribosomal RNA". It matches the Rfam family "Bacterial small subunit ribosomal RNA", at positions 355 to 724 of the family's 1533-position model. The record is from RNAcentral.